This is an RNA transcript of Nicotiana attenuata, 2036 nucleotides long. It is a transcript of the gene named probable DNA-3-methyladenine glycosylase 2, with no coding region annotated. Lineage: Eukaryota; Viridiplantae; Streptophyta; Magnoliopsida; Solanales; Solanaceae. The record is from RefSeq and is a predicted model, not a curated record. The transcript is spliced from 4 exons.
CCAUCAUCUGGAUUGACUACAUUUGAGUCUGUGGAUGGUACAAACGGAGUUUGAAUGUCUCAUCAAAUUCCAAAAGCUAACGAAUAUGAUGACUUUUUUUGUUUUUUUGGUUACUUUGUUGAUGAUUUUCUAUAAUUUUUAUCUCCUACCUCAAUAACUACAAGACCACACCUUUGACUUUUAGCGAUAUCAAUUACGUUCUCUGACAAAACAAUUCAAUAAACGUAACAAAACCCAAAUCCUCCGGCUACUCCUCGGAUAACCAUUACACUCAGUUCCCAGACCGUCGCCGUCAAUUGCCACCUGAAACUUCCAAUUCCUCCCCCUCCACAACCGCCGAAAAAUAUCAGCCAAUCUCCCUUGGCCCCUAUUUAGCGCUCAUGGGUGAACAAACCCAAAUACAAGCAAAACCCGAAACCCAAACUCCACCCCAAUCUCUACCCGAUUCCGAUUCCACCCUUGUAUCCAACUCUCCCGUUGAUCUUCCCCCAAACCCCUCUAACCCUUCCAAAAUCCCAAUUCGACCCCAGAAAAUCCGAAAACUCUCUUCCACCCCCUCCUCAAAAACCCCACAAACGACCACAUCCUCCGCGACGCCAGCAUCCACCAAGAGUCGCCGAAAGAGCGCACCGAAAUCAUCAUCUAGGGUUUUGCCCCAAAUCAUCAAACCCUUAUCAGCUAACGGCGAAAUCGACAAUGCACUCUUACACCUCCGUUCAGCCGACCCGCUUCUCGGUUCCUUAAUAGACACACUUCCGGUCCCUCAAUUUGAAUCACACCAUUCUCCGUUUUUAGCCUUAAGCAAGAGCAUUCUGUACCAGCAACUAGCUUAUAAAGCAGGCACCUCAAUUUACACGCGCUUCGUGUCCCUUUGUGGCGGAGAGGAUGCCGUUUGCCCUGACGUCGUCCUCUCCCUAUCCGCUCAACAGCUCAAGCAGAUAGGUGUCUCGGGGAGAAAGGCUAGUUAUUUAUAUGACUUAGCUAAUAAGUAUAAAAAUGGGAUUUUGUGUGAUGAUGCGCUUGUAAAGAUGGAUGAUAAGUCAUUGUUUACCAUGCUUUCGAUGGUGAAGGGUAUUGGUUCUUGGUCAGUGCAUAUGUUCAUGAUUUUUUCACUGCAUAGGCCGGAUGUUUUGCCUGUUAGUGAUUUGGGGGUCAGGAAAGGUGUGCAGUUGUUAUACGGAUUAGAGGAAUUACCUAGGCCGUCGCAGAUGGAGCACUUGUGCGAGAAAUGGAGACCAUAUAGGUCAGCUGGGGCGUGGUAUAUGUGGAGGUUUGUGGAGGGGAAAGGGACUCCAACUACUGCUGCAGCUGCAAUUGAUGCUGGUAAUGUGCAGCCGUUGCAGCAAAUUCAGACAGGACAGGAGACACAGCAGCAUCAGUUGCAGCUUCUCGAGCCUAUAAAUGGCAUUGGGAAUCUUGGUCUAUUAAUUGCUCAUGAGAUAAUCUGCAAAUGGCUUGCACUGUGUUUUACAUUCACUGCGCCGUUAGACAACAACCUGCAUACAUAUUUUGAAAAUCUUUGUGAAAGAAAAGGGGGCUGGAUUAGAGCUGAAGUAAUAUAGUCGAUUAAUGUAUCAUGCCCAAUUGGUGUGAGAAUGAGGUGUGGUUGAUUGAUUGGAGUUUCCACCUUGUGCUUUAUUGACUUGGGCUUGCAUUUGGAGCCAAUGACCGAAAUCGUUCAGAUGUCAGACUAUUCGCUGAGGCUGGAAUGUGUAUGCAAAUAAAGAAUCAGUUUCCUAAGAUGCUGUGCACCAAAAUUCUGUAGCUAGUGUUAGUAUUGAGCUAAGCUAGGUGCUGUAAAGGGAUGUGCUAUAUGGAAGAGCCUCGUUUGUUUGAUUGAUGUGAGGGACUGCACUUUCUUCGUAUAGAGGUAAUACAAUGCUCACUAUUUCUACACCCCCCCCCCCCCCCCUUCUCUUCCUUAAUUCUCUUGUCCCAUUUAAAUGUAAAAUCACGAGAAUAAACGGCUUCCAACUGCAUUGUGAUUUUUAGCAACGAGGUAUAAUAUAAAUAAACUUUACUAUGAUAGAGAUACA